UUCAUCAGGACAUCGAGCAGUGUAAGGAUGCACUAUAUUGGCAGAGUAGGUCGAAUGACCUUCUGUAGCCUGCAUGAAGCUGGGAAGAUGGCAGAUGGUUGAGACUUGUUUUGUACAUGAUGUUGACAUUUAUCUCAUUGCAAACUUUCGCAUUUUGUGCAGUUUCAAGUUUGUCAUAUAACAAAAAACUGGACUUGUCCGAAGAGGAAGAUGUGAAGAAAAAGUCUUCCAAUCUAGUGGAGUUAAGGUUGACUACAAUGCUGGUCUCUAAAGCAGCUAAAAAGGACUUGGUAGAAAGGAAUGGGGAGGUCUUAGCAGCAGAGAAACGGCUCAAAAAGGCUGAAAGGCGCUUGCAAGAGGCGAAAAGCCGAGCAGGAGAGGCAGAAAGGUCUGUCAAAGUAUUUGAAAUACUGGGUGAAAAGAUUCAUCAGGACAUCGAGCAGUGUAAGGAUGCACUAUAUUGGCAGAGUAGGUCGAAUGACCUUCUGUAGCCUGCAUGAAGCUGGGAAGAUGGCAGAUGGUUGAGACUUGUUUUGUACAUGAUGUUGACAUUUAUCUCAUUGCAAACUUUCGCAUUUUGUGCAGUUUCAAGUUUGUCAUAUAACAAAAAACUGGACUUGGUUUUGUAUGUAAUGUGAUGUGCAUGAUUGGAAAAGAUUAUAAGGUUACUGUGUACUGUCUAAAGGAAGACUAAUACCAUGGUCUCUACAACACCAUGAACAAUUGGGGUGAUGUGCUCAGUGUCUUUCUUUAGUUUUUUUUUGAAAAGGAG
Molecule: long non-coding RNA, 772 nt
Filed under: Nicotiana benthamiana
Lineage: Eukaryota; Viridiplantae; Streptophyta; Magnoliopsida; Solanales; Solanaceae
Description: long non-coding RNA (NBEN_LNC028505)
Source: RNAcentral